GUAGUACUUCCUCCGUCUGAAAAUACUUGUCAGUGAAAUGGAUGUAUCUAGAUGUAUUUUAGUUCUAGAUACAUCAAUUUUCAUCCAUUUUGAUAACAAGUAAUUCUGGACUGAGGGAGUAUAUG
This is a non-coding RNA of Triticum aestivum (bread wheat), 125 nucleotides long. Lineage: Eukaryota; Viridiplantae; Streptophyta; Magnoliopsida; Poales; Poaceae. The record is from Rfam.